Gallus gallus (chicken) is the source of this 785-nucleotide long non-coding RNA. The record is from Ensembl. NCBI's taxonomy places the organism in Eukaryota, Metazoa, Chordata, Aves, Galliformes, Phasianidae.
GAGUUUCCACACAGGAGCUGAAGAAAGAUGAUCGUGUUCUUAGUACCCAGCUGCAGUGAGGGCUCAGAUGGUGUGCAUGGAUAUCCUCAAAGUCUGUCUGGCUGUCAUCUCCAGAGGCUAGCUUCCUAAAGGGGAAUGACUCCUGGAUGAUGGUCACUUCCUGAGAAGCAGUGCUCUAUGGCUAGGGACCCUCUCCCCAGUUGGGCUGACUGUUGUUACUGCUUAGAUAAAUCAAAAAAAUGCAACCUUCCUAGAACAGAGGACAUUUGUGAUGGUGCUGUCUCAAGCUGUGUGAACAGAGCUGGCAAAGGAACCACAUGAAGACAAGAAAAGGACCCUGAACAGCCCCCAGUUUGUGAUCUGCUGCAGCAUGUUAUCUUUUCCAAGCGUGAGCAUUCCACUCUUCUAUUUCCUACUCUGGAAAAGUAUCUGUCUGUCUUCCACCCAAAAAGAGCGAAGACAGGGAAUGCAGCAGUGCUGGGGAUCUCUGUGACACAUCACAUAUACAGCGUGGAAUUACAAGAGAUAAAGUUGCCUUUUGUGGAUGUUGUGCACAUCCCUUGAUUUGACUAGAUUUAGUGGAUGAACAAAUCAUUGGAAAUGAAAAGAUAGAGCUAAAUAUUAAAUGGCAGAAUACAAAGGAGAUUAAAUGUACUCAUGGAUAUUUUAUUACUUGGAAAAUAUUCUUUGAGAAGUAACUUUUUUAAAAAAACUUUUUUCAUCUGCUUGCCAGUAUUCUUUAAUGAAGCUCCAUUUUGGAUGAAUAAACAGCAAGGGAUGAUGUU